CAAAAAAAAAAAAAGAUGCAACCCCCCAAAAGCACUCCCAUUUGUACGUUUCCCUACACAUUCCUUCUCGUUUCCGUUUUUCUUUCU
This 87-nucleotide non-coding RNA is filed under the name Thalassionema frauenfeldii. Lineage: Eukaryota; Bacillariophyta; Fragilariophyceae; Thalassionematales; Thalassionemataceae. The record is from RNAcentral.